RNAcentral lists this ribosomal RNA (440 nucleotides) under uncultured bacterium. RNAcentral describes it as "partial 16S ribosomal RNA". It matches the Rfam family "Bacterial small subunit ribosomal RNA", at positions 338 to 795 of the family's 1533-position model. The record is from RNAcentral.
CCUACGGGUGGCAGCAGUGGGGAAUAUUGCACAAUGGGGGAAACCCUGAUGCAGCGACGCCGCGUGAGUGAAGAAGUAUUUCGGUAUGUAAAGCUCUAUCAGCAGGGAAGAUAAUGACGGUACCUGAGUAAGAAGCCCCGGCUAACUACGUGCCAGCAGCCGCGGUAAUACGUAGGGGGCAAGCGUUAUCCGGAUUUACUGGGUGGAAAGGGAGCGUAGACGGCAUGGCAAGUCUGAAGUGAAAGCCCGGGGCGCAACCGCGGGACUGCUUUGGAAACUGUUAAGCUGGAGUGCAGGAGAGGUAAGUGGAAUUCCUAGUGUAGCGGUGAAAUGCGUAGAUAUUAGGAGGAACACCAGUGGCGAAGGCGGCUUACUGGACUGUAACUGACGUUGAGGCUCGAAAGCGUGGGGAGCAAACAGGAUUAGAUACCCUAGUAGUC